AUUGAGCGCUGGCGGCAGGCCUAACACAUGCAAGUCGAACGGUAACAGAAAGCAGCUUGCUGCUUUGCUGACGAGUGGCGGACGGGUGAGUAAUGUCUGGGAAACUGCCUGAUGGAGGGGGAUAACUACUGGAAACGGUAGCUAAUACCGCAUAACGUCGCAAGACCAAAGAGGGGGACCUUCGGGCCUCUUGCCAUCGGAUGUGCCCAGAUGGGAUUAGCUAGUAGGUGGGGUAACGGCUCACCUAGGCGACGAUCCCUAGCUGGUCUGAGAGGAUGACCAGCCACACUGGAACUGAGACACGGUCCAGACUCCUACGGGAGGCAGCGGUGGGGAAUAUUGCACAAUGGGCGCAAGCCUGAUGCAACCAUGCCGCGUGUAUGAAGAAGGCCUUCGGGUUGUAAAGUACUUUCAGCGGGGAGGAAGGGAGUAAAGUUAAUACCUUUGCUCAUUGACGUUACCCGCAGAAGAAGCACCGGCUAACUCCGUG
Molecule: ribosomal RNA, 490 nt
Filed under: uncultured bacterium
Lineage: Bacteria
Description: partial 16S ribosomal RNA
Rfam family: Bacterial small subunit ribosomal RNA
Source: RNAcentral